UACGUAGGGUGCAAGCGUUAAUCGGAAUUACUGGGCGUAAAGCGUGCGCAGGCGGUUUUGUAAGUCUGACGUGAAAUCCCCGGGCUCAACCUGGGAAUUGCGUUGGAGACUGCAAGGCUAGAAUCUGGCAGAGGGGGGUAGAAUUCCACCUGUAGCAGUGAAAUGCGUAGAGAUGUGGAGGAACACCGAUGGCGAAGGCAGCCCCCUGGGUCAAGAUUGACGCUCAUGCACGAAAGCAUGGGGAGCAAACAGG
RNAcentral lists this ribosomal RNA (253 nucleotides) under uncultured bacterium. RNAcentral describes it as "partial 16S ribosomal RNA". It matches the Rfam family "Bacterial small subunit ribosomal RNA", at positions 524 to 776 of the family's 1533-position model. The record is from RNAcentral.